This 674-nucleotide ribosomal RNA is filed under the name Vibrio parahaemolyticus. RNAcentral describes it as "bacterial SSU rRNA". It matches the Rfam family "Bacterial small subunit ribosomal RNA", at positions 1 to 654 of the family's 1533-position model. Lineage: Bacteria; Pseudomonadati; Pseudomonadota; Gammaproteobacteria; Vibrionales; Vibrionaceae. The record is from RNAcentral.
AAAUUGAAGAGUUUGAUCAUGGCUCAGAUUGAACGCUGGCGGCAGGCCUAACACAUGCAAGUCGAGCGGAAACGAGUUAUCUGAACCUUCGGGGAACGAUAACGGCGUCGAGCGGCGGACGGGUGAGUAAUGCCUAGGAAAUUGCCCUGAUGUGGGGGAUAACCAUUGGAAACGAUGGCUAAUACCGCAUGAUGCCUACGGGCCAAAGAGGGGGACCUUCGGGCCUCUCGCGUCAGGAUAUGCCUAGGUGGGAUUAGCUAGUUGGUGAGGUAAGGGCUCACCAAGGCGACGAUCCCUAGCUGGUCUGAGAGGAUGAUCAGCCACACUGGAACUGAGACACGGUCCAGACUCCUACGGGAGGCAGCAGUGGGGAAUAUUGCACAAUGGGCGCAAGCCUGAUGCAGCCAUGCCGCGUGUGUGAAGAAGGCCUUCGGGUUGUAAAGCACUUUCAGUCGUGAGGAAGGUAGUGUAGUUAAUAGCUGCAUUAUUUGACGUUAGCGACAGAAGAAGCACCGGCUAACUCCGUGCCAGCAGCCGCGGUAAUACGGAGGGUGCGAGCGUUAAUCGGAAUUACUGGGCGUAAAGCGCAUGCAGGUGGUUUGUUAAGUCAGAUGUGAAAGCCCGGGGCUCAACCUCGGAAUUGCAUUUGAAACUGGCAGACUAGAGUACUGUAG